GCGGGUAUGGCGGAAUUGGCAGACGCGUAUGAUUCAGGUUCAUAUGUCAUAAAAGGCAUGCAAGUUCAAAUCUUGUUACCCGCA
RNAcentral lists this transfer RNA (84 nucleotides) under Eubacteriales bacterium. Its description in RNAcentral is "tRNA-Leu". It matches the Rfam family "tRNA". From Rfam's summary of the family: Transfer RNA (tRNA) molecules are approximately 80 nucleotides in length. Their secondary structure includes four short double-helical elements and three loops (D, anti-codon, and T loops). Further hydrogen bonds mediate the characteristic L-shaped molecular structure. tRNAs have two regions of fundamental functional importance: the anti-codon, which is responsible for specific mRNA codon recognition, and the 3' end, to which the tRNAs corresponding amino acid is attached (by aminoacyl-tRNA synthetases). tRNAs cope with the degeneracy of the genetic code in two manners: having more than one tRNA (with a specific anti-codon) for a particular amino acid; and 'wobble' base-pairing, i.e. permitting non-standard base-pairing at the 3rd anti-codon position. The record is from RNAcentral. Lineage: Bacteria; Bacillati; Bacillota; Clostridia; Eubacteriales.